This 1284-nucleotide ribosomal RNA is filed under the name metagenome. RNAcentral's name for it is "bacterial SSU rRNA". It matches the Rfam family "Bacterial small subunit ribosomal RNA", at positions 242 to 1519 of the family's 1533-position model. The record is from RNAcentral.
UAGCUAGUUGGUGAGGUAAAGGCUUACCAAGGCGACGAUCUGUAGCGGGUCUGAGAGGAUGAUCCGCCACACCGGAACUGAGACACGGUCCAGACUCCUACGGGAGGCAGCAGUGGGGAAUUUUGGACAAUGGGGGCAACCCUGAUCCAGCCAUGCCGCGUGAGUGAAGAAGGCCUUCGGGUUGUAAAGCUCUUUCGGCCGGGAAGAAAUCGCAUGGGCCAAUACCCUGUGUGGAUGACGGUACCGGAAUAAGAAGCACCGGCUAACUACGUGCCAGCAGCCGCGGUAAUACGUAGGGUGCGAGCGUUAAUCGGAAUUACUGGGCGUAAAGCGUGCGCAGGCGGUUUUGUAAGACAGGCGUGAAAUCCCCGGGCUUAACCUGGGAACUGCGUUUGUGACUGCAAGGCUAGAGUACGGCAGAGGGGGGUGGAAUUCCACGUGUAGCAGUGAAAUGCGCAGAGAUGUGGAGGAACACCAAUGGCGAAGGCAGCCCCCUGGGUCGAUACUGACGCUCAUGCACGAAAGCGUGGGUAGCAAACAGGAUUAGAUACCCUGGUAGUCCACGCCCUAAACUAUGUCAACUAGGUGUUGGGUGGGUAAAACCAUUUAGUACCGUAGCUAACGCGUGAAGUUGACCGCCUGGGGAGUACGGCCGCAAGGUUAAAACUCAAAGGAAUUGACGGGGACCCGCACAAGCGGUGGAUGAUGUGGAUUAAUUCGAUGCAACGCGAAAAACCUUACCUACCCUUGACAUGCCAGGAACUUGCCAGAGAUGGCUUGGUGCCCGAAAGGGAGCCUGGACACAGGUGCUGCAUGGCUGUCGUCAGCUCGUGUCGUGAGAUGUUGGGUUAAGUCCCGCAACGAGCGCAACCCUUGUCGUUAAUUGCCAUCAUUUAGUUGGGCACUUUAACGAGACUGCCGGUGACAAACCGGAGGAAGAUGGGGAUGACGUCAAGUCCUCAUGGCCCUUAUGGGUAGGGCUUCACACGUCAUACAAUGGUCGGUACAAAGGGUUGCCAAGCCGCGAGGCGGAGCCAAUCCCAGAAAGCCGAUCGUAGUCCGGAUUGCAGGCCAACUCGCCUGCAUGAAGUCGGAAUCGCUAGUAAUCGUGGAUCAGCAUGUCACGGUGAAUACGUUCCCGGGUCUUGUACACACCGCCCGUCACACCAUGGGAGCGGGUUCCGCCAGAAGUAGGUAGCCUAACCGCAAGGGGGGCGCUUACCACGGCGGGGUUCGUGACUGGGGUGAAGUCGUAACAAGGUAGCCGUAGGGGAACCUGCGGCU